Molecule: non-coding RNA, 2805 nt
Organism: Solanum lycopersicum (tomato)
Lineage: Eukaryota; Viridiplantae; Streptophyta; Magnoliopsida; Solanales; Solanaceae
Source: RefSeq, a predicted model, not a curated record
ACCCAUAACCCAAUUACCCAAGCCCCAAGCCAAUUUUCCUAAAUAAUAAAUCCCUAAAUUAACAGUGAAGUCUGAAAGUGAAACCUUCUUCUUUGAAACACCAAACACGUCCACCGCCACCGACCUACCCUCUAUCGUCGACCGUCGUCCGUCCGUCACGCCGCCAGUUGUCUCCGCCGCCACCAGCACUCGCCAGUCGUCGGUCGCCGCCCGCCGGCGUGCCACAGGCCCAUAGCCACCACUCUUAUUCAUCUCUCAACUCUCAUCUCUCGUUUUCAUCACUCAUGGCACAAACUGGAAGUAAGGGAAGUGAAAGUGGAGCUUCAAAUGAGAGCAUACCUUACACCUCAUCUCCCAAUGAGGUUGAAGUUGAUGUUGAUACUUCAAAGAAAAGAAAAACCAUGGAACCUAGACCUAAUUGUUGAAAGCAUUUUGAAAAGUUCACCGAUGAAAAUGGAGCUAGUAAAGCCAAAUGCAAGUAUUGUGCAAAAGUUUAUGCAGCUUCUACAUCAUCUAAUGGUACGUUAUCAAUGAAUACUCGUAUGAGAACAUGUCCUAAAUUUCCUCGUGUCACCGUAGAUAAAGGUCAAAAUCUAAUUAAUUUUCUACCAUCUUCAACGGGAGCAAAGGAAGGGGUCAUUAGCACUUGAAAAUUUGACCAAGCACAAAGUAGGAAAGCUUUAGCCAAAAUGAGAAUUAUUGACGAGCUACCAUUUAGUUUUGUUGAGAAAGAGGGUUUUAAAAACUUCAUGAGAGUUACAAUGCCACAAUUUCGUAUUCUUUCUCAUAGAAUUGUGACGAGAGAUUGUUAUGAACUAUACCUUGAAGAAAAAAGACUUUUGAAGAAGGUUUUCAAAGAAGCACGUCCAAGAGUUUGUCUUACAACAGAUACUUGGAUCUCUAUACAAAAAAUAAACUAGAUGUGUUUGACAACCCUUUUUAUAGAUAGAAAUUGGAUUUUGCAUAAAGAAUAAUAACUUUUUGUCCUAUUUCUUGUCAUAAGGGCGUGGAUAUGGCGGCUUGCAUUACUAAUUGCUUGCUUGAAUGGGGUUAGAAUAAUGUGUUUACUAUUACAGUUGAUAAUGCUAGCUCUAAUGAUGUUACUGUGAAAGAAAUGUCUUAAGAAUUGAGCAAUUGGAGAACUAACAUUAUGGAUGGUGACCAUCUUCAUGUGUGGUGUAUGGCACAUAUCCUUAAUCUUAUUGUGCAAGAUGGGUUGAAGGAAAUUGGUAAGUCUGUCAAGCUAGUGAGACAAGCCGUGAAAUACAUUAAACAAUCUCCCACAAUACUUAGAAAGUUUAAAGAAUGUUGUGAAUCUGAAUUGAUAACUUCUAUGAAAUCAUUAUGUUUAGAUGUUCCUACUUGGUGGAACUCUACAUAUUUCGAUGCUUGAUAUAGCACAACAUUUUGAGCUUGCAUUUGAAAGAUAUAGUUUUUAUGAUAUUGGAUACUUGAAUCAUUUUCGUACCUUUGGUUCUGAUUCUUCUGAAAACAAAGAUAGAACUAGUGUUGAAGAUGGAACUAGUGUUGAAGAUGAAUUUAGUGUUGAAGAUGGAACUACUGCAAAUAUUCUUUCAAGUGUUGACUGGAAAAAUGUGAGGUCAAUGGUGAAAUUUCUUGAAACUUUUAUGUACUUACUUUGAAGGUUUCUGGUUCUAAUUAUGUCACUAGCAAUACACACUUUGUUGAAAUUGCUGAACUUAAUCUUAUUUUGAAAGAGAUAAUGACAAAUGAAGAUCGUAAUUUGAAAGAAAUGGUGGAAAGUAUGAAUGAAAAUUUCAAAAAGUAUUUGGGUGAACCACAAAAUAUGAACAAGAUGAUCUUUAUUUCAUCUGUGUUGGAUCCCCGUAACAAGCUUGAUUAUGUUCCAUUUUCAAUUGUGGAUAUGUUUGGAAAAGAAGUUGGGGAAAAUCUAUGUUCAGAAGUGAAAAAAUACAUGAACAAACUGUUUGGGUAUUAUGUCAAGAAAUCCCCAAAAAGCUCUUUACAUGUACCAUAUUCACCCACUUCAUCUGACAAUUCAUCAAGUAUAUCUAGUGUGAGUGGUUGUGGCAACUUUGUAAAUAGAGGAAGAUUGAGAACAAAACAACAAUUUGAGAAGCAUAAAGAAGUUAGUGGAAGUUCAGCUAAUAAAUCAGAAAUGGAAAGAUAUCUUGCGGAAGAUAUUGAGUCAGAUAGUGAUGACUUUGAUAUAUUAAUGUGGUGGAAAGUUAAUGAGCCGAGAUUUCCUAUUCUCGCGGAGAUGGUUCGUGAUGUGCUAGCCAUUCCCAUUUCAAGUGUCGCAUCAGAAUGUGCAUUCAGCACUGGAGGUCGUGUUUUUGAUCCCUUUAGGAGUUCAUUAACUCCUAAAAUUGUGCAAUCGCUUAUUUGUGUUCAAGAUUGGCUUAGAAGUGAGUAUUUUUCAAUCAAUAUUGAGGAAGAUUUAGAGUAUCUUGAACAACUUGAACUUGAUUUUUGCUUGUAGUGGGACUGAAUCUAGUAUAAUUGAUAUAUAGUUGCAGCUUGUAAGUUCAACUAUCAACUAGUGAUGUGCAGUAACGAGUCCAUCAAUGUUUUGUCAUUUUCUUGGUUGCUAUCUGCUAGAACUUGGGAGCUAUUGCAAUGGAGGUUGCAAGUUGCAGCGAUGUUUUGUUGGUUUUCUAAAUCUCUUUAUUGCUGGAAGUUGCAAUGAUCUAGAUAAUGAUGACUUUAGUUUGUAACUAACUCUAUUUUAGUGAUGGAUACAAAUUUGUUGAACUUUCUAGUGUUGUUGUGAUGUUGUCUUGACUUUUCAUAGUUUUUUUUUAUUAUUAUCGAUUGAGUCGA